Molecule: long non-coding RNA, 2718 nt
Filed under: Sander lucioperca (pikeperch)
Lineage: Eukaryota; Metazoa; Chordata; Actinopteri; Perciformes; Percidae
Description: lncRNA (ENSSLUG00000026100.1)
Source: RNAcentral
AAGCCUGAAGAGCUGAAAGAAGAAUCUGUCCCUGAUGGAGAGCAGAAAGCAGCUGAAAUCAGCGAGCAGGCUGACACCACAGGUGGAGACAAGACAGAUGGUGGCACCAAACCGGCCAAUGGGACGGCAGACAGCAACUCCAAAAGCCAAUCAGGCUCCAACAAAAAGGUACAAGAGCUUUGUAGAAUAUAACAUACAUAUCUCCUUUAGCAAGGUAACAACGACAGACCGGUUGUUUCUAUACAUUUACACUUUUAAGAGCCACUUUUUAUUUCAAUCCAAAGAAAAACUUAACACAGUCUACGCUGAUGAUUUAUUCUAUUAGUCUUUCUGAAACUACAGACCUUAAUAUAUUAUACAGCAUUUUACCUGUGUGCUGUGUGACAUCACAGGAAGGUGAUUAAAUGAACUCUCUGUCUCUGUCUAUCAGCUGUCUUUCUUCAGACGGCUGUCCUUCUCCAGGUCUAAGCAGACCAGCAGGGACCAAACCCCAGCGCAGGGAGCCAUCAGCGGGGACGCAGCCAUCCGGGGAGAGCCUCUCUCCUCCGCUGCUGCUGCUGCUACUGGGAGCAGCGAGCCAGAGACAAACAGAGGCGGAGCACAGCAGAGAUCUCUGCCGUCCGGAGCCAGGGGCCCUCGCUCUGGAGCCUGUACCAUGCUCUGAUCCCAGCGACUAAACCCUCAGGUGGCCUCGGUUAUCUAGAAAAAGUCCAAAUUUAAUUUAAAGAGCGCUUUAAAGAACAAACCAAGUUUGUGCCAAAGUGCUUUACAAACAACCUCAUUGAGCAAAAGUAAAAAUCAUGAGACAAAAGUACAUUUGGGCUGCAAUUAAUCAUUUUUUCUUUGUUGAUUAAUCUGUGGAUUAUUUUUCUCGAUUAAUGGAUUAGUUGUUUGGUCUCUAAAAUGUCAGGAGAAGAUAUUCAGUUUACUGUCACAGAGGAUUGAAGAAACUAGAAAAUAUUCACUGGAAUCAGAGAUUUUUUUACUUUUAUUUUGAAUGAGUCAAACCGAUUAUCAAAAUAGUUGGCAGUAAAAUUGAAUAGUUGACAACUAAUCAAUUAAGCGAUUAAUCUUUGCAGCUCUAAAGUACAUAAAUGCAUACAAUACCAACACAUAUACACAUCCACACAUCCACUCCCGUACAGACAUAUCAAUAUCCAAUGCAAGUCAGACCAAAGGCAGAGGUAAAGAAGCCCUGUGGAGUUUACAGUCAGUCUUCCUCACCAAGACACUUUUUGAAGUAUUUGAAAUCCUGCGUUGUUUACAUCCAUGCUUAUAGCUAGCAGUCUUUGUCUUCUCUGCCUUUGCUGGCAAACUGCAGCUGAUCUUGACUACAGCGGUCUAAAACUCCACAGGGAACCUUUCACUGAUGUAUUUAGCUCCGUGCUGCACUGUAUCAUCCAUCUCUGUGGACCACAGCUUUGUGUAAACAUUAGGGCUGUCCUCGGCUUCGGGUGACUUCAUGUCCGCCUGAAUCACGAAGUGAAGCCACAGCAGUCAGCCUUUUUCCAUAAACUGUGAAGACUGUGAAUUUAAACAAAAACAAAAGAACUUAACAUCUCCUGAAAAUCUUGUUUUUGUUGCCCUGCAAUGGUUUAACUUCUGAGCCUGUGACAGUGGCGUGCAGGUGUCCUCCAGGCUGUGUCAGCACACCGUGACAUCACUGUUGGCCGUGGUUUACGGUUGGAACAGAAGGCGGUUUCAGCCUGGUGGGAAAUUACUCUUUAAAGGAAUACUGAAAGGAAAAUCUAUUGUUUUUUUACAGCAGAAGAAUGUGUACAAACCUGCACAGAAACAUCUGAAAACCACUCUGCCAUUAAAUCAUGUGCUCAGUAGAGAGAUGUACCCAAAUGCAAAUACGUUUUUCAGAUCAGAUUCUCGAUUGGUUGGUUGAUUGAUUGAUUAAUUCGAUUGAUUGUUUGGUCUAUGAAAUAUCAGAAAACUCUUCAUCACAAGUUCCCAGAGCCCAAAGAGGUGUCUUCAGAUGUUUUAUCCCAUCAACAGACAAAAACUCAAAGAGAUUUCAUCUACAUUCACAGAAGACAAAGAGAAGCCGCAAAUAUUCACAUUUGAGGAGUUAGAACCAGGUAAUUUUUUCAUUUUAGUGUUAACAUUACUCAAACAAUUGAUCAACUACCAAAAUAGCUGGAGAUUAAUUCUCCAUCGAUUGACUAAUCUUUUAAUCAACUAUUGGUUUCAGCUCUAGAGAACUUCCUUUGGCUGUUUUAAUGUAACGCCACUGUGCCUGCUGUAAAAACGAUUUUACGUGGAGUAUUCCUUUAAAGGUCAUAUUCAAUAACUGUUUUAUGUACAAAGAAAGCUGGACUGACGGUAUUAGAUUUUAUUUUCAGCGAGUGCAGCUUUUAAUCAACCACUAUCUGUCACAAGUGACCUACAGCUGAGCCUCCACCGGUGAGACCAGCAUCAUCAUGUCGCAUCAUGAGUCCUUUUUAACUUUGUAGUUUGUAUCGUGUGGCACAUUUUUCCUACCUGAGCCUCGAGGUGUGUGUGUGUGUGUGUGUGUGUGUGUGUGUGUGUGUGUGUGUGUUUUCAACUGAGGAUGUAAAUAAUCUUAUUUAUUAUGACAUGGUCCUUGAGCACGUUUGCACUUUUUUAAAUGUGAUCUGUUUGCAUUUCAAGGAGAUGCAUCAGUUUUAUAUUCUGACAUGAUAAUCUCAUUUAAACUGACUUUUCUUUUUGUUAUCAUUUGUAUUUUUG